AUUGAAUGAUGGCGGCAGGCCUAACACAUGCAAGUCGAACGAGUGGCGGACGGGUGAGUAAUGGCUGGGAAACUGACUGAUGGAGGGGGAUAACUACUGGAAAGGGUAGCUAAUACCGCAUACCAUCAGAUGUGCCCAGAUGGGAUUAGCUAGUUGGUGGGGUAACGGCUCACCAAGGCGACGAUCCCGAGCUGGUCUGAGAGGAUGACCAGCCACACUGGAACGGAGACACGGUCCAGACUCCUACGGGAGGCAGCAGUGGGGAAUAUUGCACAAUGGGCGCAAGCCUGAUGCAGCCAUGCCGCGUGUAUGAAGAAGGCCUUCGGGUUGUAAAGUACUUUCAGCGGGGAGGCGUUACCCGCAGAAGAAGCACCGGCUAACUCCGUGCCAGCAGCCGCGGUAAUUC
This 406-nucleotide ribosomal RNA is filed under the name uncultured bacterium. Its description in RNAcentral is "partial 16S ribosomal RNA". It matches the Rfam family "Bacterial small subunit ribosomal RNA", at positions 30 to 526 of the family's 1533-position model. The record is from RNAcentral.